AACUUUUAGCAACGGAUCUCUUGGUUCUGGCAUCGAUGAAGAACGCAGCGAAAUGCGAUAAGCAAUGUGAAUUGCAGAAUUCAGUGAAUCAUCGAAUCUUUGAACGCACAUUGCGCCCCCUGGUAUUCCGGGGGGCAUGCCUGUUCGGGCGUCAUUUCACCACUCAAGCCUCGCUUGGUAUUGGGCAACGCGGUCCGCCGCGUGCCUCAAAUCGACCGGCUGGGUCUUCUGUCCCCUAAGCGUUGUGGAAACUAUUCGCUAAAGGGUGUUCGGGAGGCUACGCCGUAAAACAACCCCAUUUCUAAGGUUGACCUCGGAUCAGGUAGGGAUACCCGCUGAACUUAAGCAUAUCAAUAAGCGGAGGUU
RNAcentral lists this unclassified non-coding RNA (366 nucleotides) under uncultured Cladosporium. RNAcentral's name for it is "sequence contains ITS2". The stretch from base 1 to 154 matches the Rfam family "5.8S ribosomal RNA". Lineage: Eukaryota; Fungi; Ascomycota; Dothideomycetes; Cladosporiales; Cladosporiaceae. The record is from RNAcentral.